UACGUAGGGUGCGAGCGUUGUCCGGAAUUAUUGGGCGUAAAGAGCUUGUAGGCGGUUUGUCGCGUCUGCCGUGAAAAUUCGGGGCUCAACCCCGAACUUGCGGUGGGUACGGGCAGACUAGAGUGUGGUAGGGGAGACUGGAAUUCCUGGUGUAGCGGUGAAAUGCGCAGAUAUCAGGAGGAACACCGAUGGCGAAGGCAGGUCUCUGGGCCACUACUGACGCUGAGAAGCGAAAGCAUGGGGAGCGAACAGG
Molecule: ribosomal RNA, 253 nt
Filed under: uncultured bacterium
Lineage: Bacteria
Description: partial 16S ribosomal RNA
Rfam family: Bacterial small subunit ribosomal RNA
Source: RNAcentral